UUGCCUGUUUGUUUGGUUCUUGCUAACCAAUUUUUCUUUGAUAUCCUGCCCGGUUAUUGUAUCUCAUUCUCAUUAAUUUUUGAAGUUUCCAAAACCGCGGCUUGUGGUGACCUCAUCCGCAGCAGACGAAUCGAAUACAAGAGAAAAGACAAUGCUCGU
RNAcentral lists this non-coding RNA (159 nucleotides) under Cylindrotheca closterium. The record is from RNAcentral. Lineage: Eukaryota; Bacillariophyta; Bacillariophyceae; Bacillariales; Bacillariaceae.